CUUAGAGUGGAAGUGUGUUCAUAUGGUUCCCGGCUUGUUGAGUUCCUCCAGCAUGUUGUGUGUUGCUUGGAUUUCCAGCAUCUGCAGAUUGACUUGUCUUUAAGCUACAACAGGUUUGGUUCAAUGUCCAUUCAGAAACUGGAUGGCAGGGGGGAAGAAGCUGUUCCUAAAUCUUUGAGUGUGUACCUUUUCAGGGUAAUUGGGGUCCUUGAU
Hypanus sabinus (Atlantic stingray) is the source of this 213-nucleotide long non-coding RNA. RefSeq lists it as uncharacterized. The transcript is spliced from 3 exons. Lineage: Eukaryota; Metazoa; Chordata; Chondrichthyes; Myliobatiformes; Dasyatidae. The record is from RefSeq and is a predicted model, not a curated record.